RNAcentral lists this ribosomal RNA (731 nucleotides) under Salmonella enterica subsp. enterica serovar Bareilly. RNAcentral's name for it is "partial 23S ribosomal RNA". It matches the Rfam family "Bacterial large subunit ribosomal RNA", at positions 670 to 1397 of the family's 2925-position model. Lineage: Bacteria; Pseudomonadati; Pseudomonadota; Gammaproteobacteria; Enterobacterales; Enterobacteriaceae. The record is from RNAcentral.
AGGGAAACCGAGUCUUAACCGGGCGUUAAGUUGCAGGGUAUAGACCCGAAACCCGGUGAUCUAGCCAUGGGCAGGUUGAAGGUUGGGUAACACUAACUGGAGGACCGAACCGACUAAUGUUGAAAAAUUAGCGGAUGACCUGUGGCUGGGGGUGAAAGGCCAAUCAAACCGGGAGAUAGCUGGUUCUCCCCGAAAGCUAUUUAGGUAGCGCCUCGUGAAUUCAUCUCCGGGGGUAGAGCACUGUUUCGGCUAGGGGGCCAUCCCGGCUUACCAACCCGAUGCAAACUGCGAAUACCGGAGAAUGUUAUCACGGGAGACACACGGCGGGUGCUAACGUCCGUCGUGAAGAGGGAAACAACCCAGACCGCCAGCUAAGGUCCCAAAGUCAUGGUUAAGUGGGAAACGAUGUGGGAAGGCCCAGACAGCCAGGAUGUUGGCUUAGAAGCAGCCAUCAUUUAAAGAAAGCGUAAUAGCUCACUGGUCGAGUCGGCCUGCGCGGAAGAUGUAACGGGGCUAAACCAUGCACCGAAGCUGCGGCAGCGACGUUUAUGCGUUGUUGGGUAGGGGAGCGUUCUGUAAGCCUGCGAAGGUGGCCUGUGAGGGUUGCUGGAGGUAUCAGAAGUGCGAAUGCUGACAUAAGUAACGAUAAAGCGGGUGAAAAGCCCGCUCGCCGGAAGACCAAGGGUUCCUGUCCAACGUUAAUCGGGGCAGGGUGAGUCGACCCCUAAGGC